UGGGGAAUAUUGGACAAUGGGGGCAACCCUGAUCCAGCCAUGCCGCGUGAGUGAUGAAGGCCUUCGGGUUGUAAAGCUCUUUUGGCGGGGACGAUGAUGACGGUACCCGCAGAAUAAGCCCCGGCUAACUUCGUGCCAGCAGCCGCGGUAAGACGAAGGGGGCUAGCGUUGUUCGGAAUUACUGGGCGUAAAGCGAGUGUAGGCGGUUGCCGUAGUCAGGUGUGAAAGCCUUGAGCUCAACUCAAGAAAUGCACUUGAUACUGGGUGACUAGAGGACCGGGAGGAGGAUAGUGGAAUUCCCCAGUGUAGUGGUGAAAUACGUAGAGAUUGGGAAGAACACCAGUGGCGAAGGCGGCUAUCUGGACGGUUACUGACGCUAAGACUCGAAAGCGUGGGGAGCAAACAGGAUUAGAUACCCUGGUAGUCCACGCCGUAAACGAUGGGUGCUAGACGUUGGCGAGCUUGCUCGUCAGUGUCGCAGCUAACGCG
RNAcentral lists this ribosomal RNA (489 nucleotides) under uncultured bacterium. RNAcentral describes it as "partial 16S ribosomal RNA". It matches the Rfam family "Bacterial small subunit ribosomal RNA", at positions 355 to 859 of the family's 1533-position model. The record is from RNAcentral.